Mauremys reevesii (Reeves's turtle) is the source of this 246-nucleotide long non-coding RNA. RefSeq lists it as uncharacterized. Lineage: Eukaryota; Metazoa; Chordata; Testudines; Geoemydidae. The transcript has 2 exons. The record is from RefSeq and is a predicted model, not a curated record.
CUAGGAACAGCAAUUGGCUUCCUAGGCAACCGCUGGUGGCCUGAACACAUUACUGCAGUAUUUACAUGGCAAUGUUAUCAAGGACCAGUGAAGUUGUCACUACUUGCAAAAAUAUGUCUAGUAUUGCAAUAGUUUUCUCAACUGCCUCCAGUGGAAGAACUUGCUCCUUUUAAAGAAUUUUGAAUUGGCUACAGUUCGACUAUAGUAUAUAUUGUCUGUUCAGAGCAUUACAAAUUGCAAUCAGUA